Molecule: ribosomal RNA, 209 nt
Filed under: uncultured bacterium
Lineage: Bacteria
Description: partial 16S ribosomal RNA
Rfam family: Bacterial small subunit ribosomal RNA
Source: RNAcentral
CGCGUAGGCGGCUUGCCAAGUCAGGGGUGAAAUCCUGCAGCUUAACUGUAGAAGGGCCUUUGAUACUGGCGAGCUCGAGGGAGGUAGGGGUAUGUGGAACUUCCGGUGGAGCGGUGAAAUGCGUUGAUAUCGGAAGGAACGCCGGUGGCGAAAGCGACGUACUGGACCUCUUCUGACGCUGAGGCGCGAAAGCUAGGGGAAGGCAAACG